ACAGAGGGGGCAAGCGUUGUUCGGAAUUACUGGGCGUAAAGGGCUCGUAGGUGGCCAACUAAGUCAUACGUGAAAUCCCUCGGCUUAACCGGGGAACUGCGUCUGAUACUGGUUGGCUUGAGUUUGGGAGAGGGACGCGGAAUUCCAGGUGUAGCGGUGAAAUGCGUAGAGAUCUGGAGGAACACCGAUGGCGAAGGCAGCCUUCUGGGCCAACACUGACGCUCAUGCACGAAAGCGUGGGGAGCAAACAGGA
RNAcentral lists this ribosomal RNA (253 nucleotides) under uncultured prokaryote. RNAcentral's name for it is "partial 16S ribosomal RNA". It matches the Rfam family "Bacterial small subunit ribosomal RNA", at positions 525 to 777 of the family's 1533-position model. The record is from RNAcentral.